This 451-nucleotide ribosomal RNA is filed under the name Streptococcus sp. oral taxon 064. RNAcentral describes it as "bacterial SSU rRNA". It matches the Rfam family "Bacterial small subunit ribosomal RNA", at positions 39 to 474 of the family's 1533-position model. The record is from RNAcentral. Lineage: Bacteria; Bacillati; Bacillota; Bacilli; Lactobacillales; Streptococcaceae.
GCGGCGUGCCUAAUACAUGCAAGUAGAACGCUGAAGGAGGAGCUUGCUCUUCUGGAUGAGUUGCGAACGGGUGAGUAACGCGUAGGUAACCUGCCUGGUAGCGGGGGAUAACUAUUGGAAACGAUAGCUAAUACCGCAUAAGAGUAGAUGUUGCAUGACAUUUGCUUAAAAGGUGCAAUUGCAUCACUACCAGAUGGACCUGCGUUGUAUUAGCUAGUUGGUGAGGUAACGGCUCACCAAGGCGACGAUACAUAGCCGACCUGAGAGGGUGAUCGGCCACACUGGGACUGAGACACGGCCCAGACUCCUACGGGAGGCAGCAGUAGGGAAUCUUCGGCAAUGGACGGAAGUCUGACCGAGCAACGCCGCGUGAGUGAAGAAGGUUUUCGGAUCGUAAAGCUCUGUUGUAAGAGAAGAACGAGUGUGAGAGUGGAAAGUUCACACUGUGACG